CACGUAGGCACCAAGCGUUGUCCGGAUUUAUUGGGCGUAAAGAGCUCGUAGGCGGUUCGGUAAGUCGGGUGUGAAACUCUGGGCUACAACCCAGAGCCGCCACCCGAUACUGCUGUGACUCGAGUGCGGUAGGGGAGCGGGGAAUUCCUGGUGUAGCGGUGAAAUGCGCAGAUAAUCAGGAGGAACACCAGUGGCGAAGGCGCCGCUCUGGGCCGUGACUGACGCUGAGGAGCGAAAGCGUGGGUAGGCAAACAGG
Molecule: ribosomal RNA, 256 nt
Filed under: uncultured bacterium
Lineage: Bacteria
Description: partial 16S ribosomal RNA
Rfam family: Bacterial small subunit ribosomal RNA
Source: RNAcentral